Molecule: long non-coding RNA, 345 nt
Filed under: Sus scrofa (pig)
Lineage: Eukaryota; Metazoa; Chordata; Mammalia; Artiodactyla; Suidae
Description: lncRNA (ENSSSCG00070011285.1)
Source: RNAcentral
UCACCUAGGUGAAGAAAUUUGGGGGACUGUUGUGUUUGUUUCUGUUUCAUAAGAAUUCUUAUAUUACUCUUUUUAUUUUUCAGAUCAACUGAAGGAAAAUGAUCAACUGAAGGAAAAUGAUCAACUUAGGAAGGAAAAUGGUAAACUUUUAUGACUCUUUACAAAAUACGAUCUCCCUAUUAACCAUUUCAUAAGAAGUCUUAUAUUACUCUUUUUAUUUUUCAGAUCAACUGAAGGAAAAUGAUCAACUGGGAGGAAAAUGGUAAACUUUUAUGACUCUUUACAAAAUAUGAUCUCCCUAUUAACUGUUUCAUAAGAAGUCUUAUAAUACUCUUUUUGUUUUUU